CCUACGGGUGGCAGCAGUGAGGAAUAUUGGUCAAUGGGCGUGAGCCUGAACCAGCCAAGUCGCGUGAGGGAUGAAGGUUCUAUGGAUCGUAAACCUCUUUUAUCGGGGAGUAAAGUGCGGCACGUGUCCUGUUUUGUAUGUACCUUAUGAAUAAGCAUCGGCUAACUCCGUGCCAGCAGCCGCGGUAAUACGGAGGAUCCGAGCGUUAUCCGGAUUUAUUGGGUUUAAAGGGUGCGUCGGCGGCCUGUUAAGUCAGCGGUUAAAGUCGGGGGCUCAACCAUAGAAUUGCCGUUGAAACUGGGAGGCUUGAGUAUGUGAGAGGCAGGCGGAAUGCGUGGUGUAGCGGUGAAAUGCUUAGAUAUCACGCAGAACCCCGAUUGCGAAGGCAGCCUGCCGAGGCAUGACUGACGCUGAUGCACGAAAGCGUGGGGAUCAAACAGGAUUAGAUACCCUUGUAGUC
RNAcentral lists this ribosomal RNA (460 nucleotides) under uncultured bacterium. Its description in RNAcentral is "partial 16S ribosomal RNA". It matches the Rfam family "Bacterial small subunit ribosomal RNA", at positions 338 to 795 of the family's 1533-position model. The record is from RNAcentral.